Vicia faba (fava bean) is the source of this 279-nucleotide non-coding RNA. The record is from the annotation of a GenBank genome assembly. NCBI's taxonomy places the organism in Eukaryota, Viridiplantae, Streptophyta, Magnoliopsida, Fabales, Fabaceae.
AUGGCCCACCGUCAUUCCACUCGAUGCAACCGCACAUCUGUCAUCGAUCUCCAGCAUCGCGAAUCGUGGCUUGAUCCGUUGUUCUCAUCCCACACCCUAUCGCGAGACCACUCCCUCCGCCGAACUCACUGUGAGACCGUCCUACACGCCGACCACUCGAACACCUUCGAUUCCCCUGUUCCAGCUGCAAACCGCCACGAUAUAGUAGAUCUGGCCACGCCUCUUCCUAGAUCCACCACCGAGAAAGUAUUUAUUUAUGGUGUCUUAGAUCAAUGUUGA